RNAcentral lists this ribosomal RNA (254 nucleotides) under uncultured bacterium. RNAcentral describes it as "partial 16S ribosomal RNA". It matches the Rfam family "Bacterial small subunit ribosomal RNA", at positions 524 to 776 of the family's 1533-position model. The record is from RNAcentral.
UGCGUAGGGUGCGAGCGUUGUCCGGAUUUAUUGGGCGUAAAGAGCUCGUAGGCGGUUCAGUAAGUCGGAUGUGAAAACCCCAGGCUCAACCUGGGGCCUGCAUUCGAUACUGCUGUGACUAGAGUCUGGUAGGGGAUCACGGAAUUCCUGGUGUAGCGGUGAAAUGCGCAGAUGUCAGGAGGAACACCGGUGGCGAAGGCGGUGAUCUGGGCCAGUACUGACGCUGAGGAGCGAAAGCGUGGGGAGCAAACAGG